UACGUAGGGUGCAAGCGUUGUCCGGAAUUACUGGGCGUAAAGGGCUCGUAGGUGGCCAAUUAAGUCAGACGUGAAAUCCCCAGGCUUAACCUGGGAACUGCGUCUGAUACUGACUGGCUUGAAUUCGGGAGAGGGAUGCAGAAUUCCAGGUGUAGCGGUGAAAUGCGUAGAUAUCUGGAGGAACACCGGUGGCGAAGGCGGCAUUCUGGACCACAACUGACACUGAGAGACGAAAGCCAGGGGAGCAAACGGG
Molecule: ribosomal RNA, 253 nt
Filed under: uncultured bacterium
Lineage: Bacteria
Description: partial 16S ribosomal RNA
Rfam family: Bacterial small subunit ribosomal RNA
Source: RNAcentral